GAGUUUGAUCUUGGCUCAGAAUGAACGCUGGCGGCGCGCUUAACACAUGCAAGUCGAACGUGAAGCGGGAGCUUGCUCCCGUGGAAAGUGGCGAACGGGUGCGUAACACGUGAGCAACCUGCCCCGAAGACUGGGAUAACACCGGGAAACCGGUGCUAAUACCGGAUACCUUCCUCCGACCGCAUGGUUGGAUGAAGAAAUGGAUUCCGCUUCGGGAUGGGCUCGCGGCCUAUCAGCUUGUGGUGAGGUAACGCCCACAAGCGACGACGGGUAGCUGGUCUGAGAGGACGACCAGCCACACUGGGACUGAGACACGGCCCAGACUCCUACGGGAAGCAGCAGUGGGGAAUCUUGCUCAAUGGGCGAAAGCCUGAAGCAGCGACGCCGCGUGCGGGAUGAAGGCCCUCGGGUUGUAAACCGCUUUCAGCAGGGACGAAAUUGACGGUACCUACAGAAGAAGGCCCGGCCAACUACGUGCCAGCAGCCGCCGCGGUAAU
This 497-nucleotide ribosomal RNA is filed under the name uncultured bacterium. RNAcentral's name for it is "bacterial SSU rRNA". It matches the Rfam family "Bacterial small subunit ribosomal RNA", at positions 9 to 524 of the family's 1533-position model. The record is from RNAcentral.